Molecule: ribosomal RNA, 248 nt
Filed under: uncultured Lachnospiraceae bacterium
Lineage: Bacteria; Bacillati; Bacillota; Clostridia; Lachnospirales; Lachnospiraceae
Description: partial 16S ribosomal RNA
Rfam family: Bacterial small subunit ribosomal RNA
Source: RNAcentral
UACGUAGGGGGCAAGCGUUAUCCGGAUUUACUGGGUGUAAAGGGAGCGUAGGCGGCCAUGCAAGUCAGAAGUGAAAGCCCGGGGCUCAACCCCGGGACUGCUUUUGAAACUGUAGGGCUAGAUUGCCGGAGAGGUGAGCGGAAUUCCUAGUGUAGCGGUGAAAUGCGUAGAUAUUAGGAGGAACACCAGUGGCGAAGGCGGCUCACUGGACGGUAAAUGACGCUGAGGCUCGAAAGCGUGGGGAGCAA